Triticum aestivum (bread wheat) is the source of this 7861-nucleotide RNA transcript. RefSeq lists it as uncharacterized. The transcript is spliced from 17 exons. The record is from RefSeq and is a predicted model, not a curated record. Lineage: Eukaryota; Viridiplantae; Streptophyta; Magnoliopsida; Poales; Poaceae.
UAUAUACAUUGCUCUUUUCUGCUUAGGUGGAUGACCGGUGGGCCUCUAUUCCUUGCGGGCCAGUUUCACAGUGUGCAUCUGGUGUGUGGGUCGCGUGCCUCUUCGGUGAAAAGCCUGCGGGGCGUGCCCUGGCCCCUGGACACCAAUCGCUUUCGCCCUCGAGCCCCGUGUUCUCCUCGAGUUCCCCUUCGCCUCUCACCUCCUUCAUCCACGGCCGGUCGUGAGAGAGAGCCGGCGGAAGCAGGGGCCAGAUCAAGAAGGAGGGUGUUGGCGACCUAGGUGCAGGCCGCCGGCGUGGGUCUGGCGGGCGUGGCGGCCGGUGGGGUUCUGGCGGGCUUGGCGGCCGACGGCGAUCUGGCGGGCGUGGCUGGAGCUAGAAGGGCAGCAGUAGCCUGUGGGGUGGCCACCGGACCGACAGCGACUUCAAUGGAGGGGAACGGUCCGGCAGGCGCAUGCAGGCGGGAGAAACUGGGGGCGCUCGUCGGUUGGGAAGAUGGCGACCACUUGAGCUUCUCGAUCUGGACAGGGCCACUACAGCACAAGCAAGGGGUGGGCGCGAGCAACAAUAUGGAGCCACACACGUCUACAGAGUAGAAGAAAGUGUUUGUUUGAACCUUGUGGUCUGACAGAGCAAUAAUGUUGGUCAUGUGAACAGAGGAUGGUCUUCAUGCCUCUCCCAUACAUAGAUGACAGGCCUGCAAGGAAAGGAGCAGAAGAAAACAUGGUGAGCAUGCAGAGAUGUUAAUAACCAGAAUUGUGCAUUUACAUGAAAGGAAGUAACGAUCAAAGAAGAAGAGUUAGAUGCUGCUUUGAUGGUAAACAUAUGCUUUAUUCUGGGAAGCAUAUGUUCUUGGUGCUUAAUAGCUUUGCAUUAACCUUCAAGGUUUGCCUUCCCAAUUUUAUCUCAUCGUCUUUGAUCCAGUUAGUGCCCAGCUUCUUCUGCUCUUGGUGAAAUAUCAAUAGAUGGAAGUCAGCCUAGGCAUAUGUGUACUAAUUUAGGAUAUUUCGAAUUUGGGGUUAGUUCAUAGUAGAGCUUGCUUUGCACUAUGUAUCUACCCGCCUUCAACACUAUGGUCUGUCUGCUGGGAUGUUUUGACAAGCACACUAUACUCCCCUGGGAAGUUUUUUUGCUCUGCUUUGAGGGCAUGUUGAAUUCUGAGUGACUUCAUUGAGCAUAUCAGGAGAUUGAUAGAUAGUGCGAGAGCUGGUAAGAUUAUUAGGAAGUUAAAUAAUUUUACAGCAUUAAUCUGAAUCUCAUACUCACACAUGAAUGGUGUCGGUUCCUAACAUUUAGCAUUUCUACGAUUUGCCCUUUUUAACUAUAUCCAAAAUGCAGAGAAGCGAGUUUUAUUUUCCAGGAGCUCUUAUGUUGCAGCUGAUACUAUUUUAUUCCCUUCAUCAUUUAUGAGGUCAGUACUAAUUUCACUUCCUCCCUCUUCUAUGAUUAAUCCACCAUGCCGAUAUGCUUCAUGACGACCAUGCUUUUGCCAUCCCUCACCCUCUCAGGUUAGAAUUACCCCCCUCUCAUUUUCUCAUGUGUGUCUGCUCAGUUUGAUAAAAAAAUGUCUACUAAGAAAAAUUUCUAAUGUAUAUUUCACUCAACAACAAAGAAUGUGCCUAAUGUGUGUGAUGACCUAAAAAAAUGUGUGUGUGUGUUUGCUCAAAGAACAAUAUAUGCUCAUGUGUGUCAGUCAGCAAUUGCCCUGUUAUCUGAAACCUAAUGCUAAACUGGACACCAACUAAUGCAGAUAAAUCGAGAGCAACACCAGCCUAAACUUCAUCUGAUCUCGAAAAAAGGGAAUAUAAACCAGCUAGACCAUCUACCCAGGCCAUCAUCUUCUUAUUUUUCACGCCUUGGAUAGUAUAUCUUGAAAUGGUACUGUUCAUGCCAAAUUUAUUUAUUUAUUUUAACCUUAUGGAUGCAAAUAUUUUUUGAUAUAUUAGUGGUCAAAGUUAUAAUGUUUAAUUAAUACAUCUAGCGCUGAUACAUAUUCACCACAUAUGAAUUACUUAUUUGACUGUUUAGCUAAAUGCAUUGUUGUUUGCAUUUUGAGAAGGGUGAUGUUCUGAUUUGUGCUGAUAUUCAUCUUUCUUUCUUUCUAAAGAUAUUCGAGAAAGAAGAUAGUAGGACAAGGCUAAAGGGGAACUAUGGUUAAAAGCUUUCUUUCUUUUGUUGUGACCUGUCUUACCUGGUUCUGCUUGAUAUGUUACUAAGCCGGGAUCAUGUAGUAACUAUAUUUAAUUAAAAUUUAGGUCAGUGGGAGCCUCUCCCACUGUCUUUCACUGGUCAAAAAAAGCUUGGAUCGUGUAAUCUUCUAACCUUCACUAAUCUUUCAUGCAUAAGCAGAGUUGCGUCCAUAGUGGAGGCGCAAAUCAAGAAGGUUGACUGAGGAGAUGAGGUUGGGUGCCGAGCACAUGGCAUGAUGAAGGUGCAGGCCUGUGUUUUUUUGGAUGGCAGCGGCAUACUACUUCAAUGAAUAAGAUAUCAUGCCUUUGUUUUUUUGCUCUGCUUUGCUUUUUAAAAGAAAUAUAAAUAAGAUAUCAUAAACUGAUAUCAUGCCUUUGUUUUGGCCUAUAAACCUACCAUACAAUGUAAUAUAUAAUGCUAUGUAUGAUCAUCAUACACAAAUAUCUAUUUCCUUGUGUUUCAGAGAUUCUAUGAUCGGUCUAUAAAUAUUGUUACUUGCAUGGUUUGAGUGUUUGGUUCACUCUCGCCUUUUGCGCCAUUGGCAUAAUAGGUAUUCUCAUGAAACUUUGUUAUCCCUUGAUUAUAAAAGUCAAAUCGAGUUUAUAUCCAUAUUUGUUUCUCGAUUAUUCAUCCUUCAGUUGGAUUAAAGUUUUUCUAUUGUUUGCAAGUGAAACUUACUUGAUGUACCUUUGGUAUGCUGAUAUAUAAUAACUCGAUGUACCUUUGGUAUGCUGAUAUCUGAUAGCAAAGUAAUUCAGAAUGCAGGUACUCCCCCUCUCCCCUUUGUGCCCUCUCUCUUCUCCAACCCCUCUUUCCUGUUACACACAGCCAUUGGGGCAGCAUAUCAUAUGAAUCCAAAGUUAAUCACGUGCUUCUUGCCCCUCUCUCUCUCCCUCUCUUCACAUGUACUCUCGUGGAUUUAGUCAGAUUUGAUUUAUUCUUGUUUCCUUUCCAGAUUUAAUUUCAUCCUUGUUUCCAAGCUCUUCCUAUUCAUAAUCUAUUAAUUAAUGACUUGUACAUACGUAUUUUAUCAUGUCUACUAAUAAUCUCAUCACAUUACAGUUCAUACAUCAGUUUAUUUUAUCUUGUUUCCUUCAAGUACGUAUUUAGGCUGUUCAUUUUCCCUUUUUCAGAUGUAUGCCAUGUAUGUGUAGCCAUGGUUCUGAAACACCACCAUUCCUUCUCUUCCUAUCAAUUUUCUUUGAUUCAGUUAUUUGACUAAAUGAUAAUAUAUGCCCCAGGGUUAAUUAGUACCUAAAAUGCUACCUUUGGUUUGUCAAAAAGAUCUAGAGUGGCUUCUGCAGCUCCUGUUAUGUUUCAUUGAUUCAGUCAUGUAGUAGGAUAGUUCCACUGGAUUUUACUAAAUGGUUUUGUAGCUUUACUUAGUGAAAAUGCCUCAAUUGGUUUCUGCAACAUUGCUUGUCUAUUGGCAGCUGGAGCAUACUUGGUACAUGAGCCUUGCCGUGAGUGGUGGUGCAACGGUGACCUCGACGAGCAGGGCAAUGGCCAGACACGAGUAAGGCACCAAAGAUGACUGGAAGCACUCAAAAAAGUUUACCACGCUGGAGCUAUGUCAGGUUGUACGAGGGCAGUUAAUGAAUAUACUUGCGACCCUUUUACUCUCAGACUCUCCUCCUUUUCUCGCUGCUGAACCCCUGCCACCAUCAUGUCCAGACUGGCUGUCUCCAUGGUUGUGGCGCCAAGGUCACCGCAUCUUACAUCCUGAUGCAUUUUCAAGAAGACAUUAUUUGAUGUUAGAUGGCCAUUAUGUUCGUUCCAUGUGGACAGAGGACUAAUGGUACUCUUCCAUGAAGAGAAGCAAGUGGAUCAGUAUGUAGUAGUAGAUCUGAGAUAGAAAAGAAGAGAAAUAAUCUUGUGGAAUUUCAUAUCUAAGAUAGAAAAGAAGAGAAAGAUUCUUGUGGAAGAGCUUGACGAAAAAGAAAGGGGCAGCACAACUGUACACCACCAUGAAUAGGGGCAACACUCACAUUUCCCCUCCAAAAUUCAACAUUUUCAUAUUUUGAGGAGCUUCAGUACGUUUGCUCACCGAGGAACUAGAAGUUUUUUUGUGUACUGCAUGAUUGAGGAAGUGCUAUUGCAGAUCAAAGUUGGUAGAAGCAUCUGCUGGGAAUCAAGUGUUACAUGGCUGUGGGUGACAAGGUUAGUCGUUUAGGAGUUCCUGCCAAGACUAGCUUUUGGAAUUUAUCCUCGCUUCAUCAGUUGGGAUUUCUGUACAAAACUAAGAUAAUUUAUUUUGGUGCUUGCGAUGAGUAUUAGACUGAGGGGUGAUGCACACAUACUUUACCCAGUGUAUCUGUUCAUGUAUGUUGUUAAUUGACUAAUUAGACAAAAAAACCUCUAUCUGUAUGGUGUUUGUGAUGAUGCUAUCAAUUCACCAAACACUAAAAUACCGGGUUGUGCUUUUCAAAUCUAGCAAAUUAAUUCUCUAUUGCUUGUCCAAAUAGAGGUAUUAGAUCUAUUCUGUGCCAUGAGUCUUACUGUCAAAAAAUUAUAUAAGCCGCGCUAGAUGAUUAUAGGUAGCUCAUAUCAAGAACUUUGUUUAGCAGCACACUGCCUAAUGCCAUCUUCUGAGGAAGCUGGACAUGCAAAAAUUGACAGUGUUGGACAUUUCUCUCUGUAGCAAUGAAUAAACUCAUUUUAUUACUGUAUAGCCAUGGUGGCAAUCUUUUUCGGAUAACAAGAAACAAUUUGCUUCUCACCAGAGAUAAUAUUGCAGUCUAUCAGAAAAAAUGUUAGCUAUUUAAUUAAACAGAAAACUCUGUCACUCAUAGCAACAGAUGAUAAACUAUCAGUCUACCUGAUAGAAAAGCAAAAUUGCCACAUUAUUUAGAACAUUUCUCUAAUUUUGAGAUGGCCUACUACUAACAUGUUUAGAAUUUUGCCAUGUGUUAGAUAAUAUGGCAAACUUGUAUAAGAAAUCAGGGAUACACAUGGCAACCUUUAACCAAUUUGUCCUAUAAAAAUUUGCCAUACAUCGGUCAAGCUCCACAUCGGGCAUGUACAAAUGGAAACAAACAAAGUUUACUAGGAUUCUCGAUUGGGGAUGAGUAGACACUGGAGCACAUACACAAUAAAAGGAUUGCUAAAAAAAUUUGCAAUCUGCGGGACGCUGGAUGGCAAAUGAAAAUAAAAGGAAGCAACAUAAGAUGGGACGAGGAGGCAAACCUUGUAGUGUAGGGGCAUCUGGCUGUUCCCAAGGCCCUUGCGCUUGGUGUGGUCGCAAUGAUGGCGCCCGUGACGCUCCGGCCCAGCGCGCACAUGAACGAGUCGCUACCGCCGCCUGAGGAUAUGGUGGUUGUUCCCAGCGAGGAGCAACAGCACCUCCCGCCAAGGCGCCAGCUAACCAACCGGAUGUGCUCGCUCGGCCCGAAAUUUCCAAUUACAGCGCCCAGGAUAGUAGCUUGGCUCGCUGUGCACCCCGGCCUCGCUCGCCCCAGAGCGUGGCCACCGAUUCGUCGCCUCGCCAGUACAAGUACCCAGAGGGCGACCACAUGCUCCUCUGUGAGUUCAAGAACAAGGCGGCUCUGAUAUUCUUCGACGAGGACCUCCUUGCACAGGCGCGCGCUGUCGGCCGCUGAUGCUGAGCAACCUACACGCGCCUAGCCCUGCCACCGCACGUCGAAUCGAGACCACCCAUGGCUGCCACUGGUCCUCCGCGGCCGCCGUUGUCGCUUUGAGUGGAAGGUGGACGAGCUGCGCGUAGCUUGAGCAGGUCGCGCUCUGGGGAUGCGUGCUGCCGUCGGACGCCGGAAGCAGCUGUCCCACGCUGCAAGACCCGCCAUGGCCGCCGCGAGCAGAUCGGUGUCGCUGCCACAUCUCCUCCGACUCUCAGUCACUGGAAUCCCCUUGUUAGAGUCUGAAGGAAAAUGGAGCUCUCCCGUUCGUUUGGAUUCUGGACCGUUCGAUCGUUUUCCUGAUGUGAUUCCGGCCGUCGGAUCUCGGGCUCGGCUCACGUGAGGCGUCGGAUAUUUACUAGAUCGUUGCGAGCCGUUGGAUAAAAUUCCAAUUGCAACAGAAGGUAAAUACCGUGCCCUCACCGGGGCAUCUGUGUCAUUUCGCGUACCAGCUAUAAAAUGACCGCGGCUUCCUACGAUGAAAACCUAGCAGCUGCCUCCUCUCUCACUCGCUCCCGCAGCCGCCUCCCUCCCUCCCUCCCACACAGGUGGCUCCCACCAACCACGGCGACGGCGGCAGCGGCCAUGGAGGAGGGCGCAGACCAGCGGCGCCGACGAUGGCGUCCGUGGCAGCUACGCAAUGAACCCUGUACCAUUUUUAUUUGUAUUUAAAUGUGUUGCUUAUUUAUGCUCAGGUGGUGUUCGUGCUAGGGCGAUGAUGAUUACCUUGGCUGGAAUUAGUGUGCCUUUGAGCAAUCGAGGCACCUAUGGGUAUCAAGUUGGAUCCUCCCUCUUGUCUCUAGAAUCCUUUUUGAUCCUGUGAUACUUGUUGUUGUCCUUGGAUGGUCAUUCUUGUUGAGUGAUAACUAGGGUAGCUGUACUAUAUAAACAGAUUGAUCUGGUGAGAAGAGAUGAUGGGGGUAGGUUAUAUGAUCGAGGAAAGGCGAAUCUGAGCCCAUUAUGCAAUAAAACUGCAGCUACCUCCCCUAAUGUGUGUAGUAUUGAAGGCAUAAAAUAACUUUUCAUGUCUUGCUACUUUAAAAUUCCAAAGAGAUUCAUUCUUCCUUUGUUGGUUACUUAACCAUGAUUUUUGUUUUGCUUUGGUUCUGGUUGAGAUACUAAAGGUUGUUUAUAUAUGAAAAGAACAAACACUUGGUAGUUUUGUAUGCCUCAACUGUUGCUUAGGAUCCAGUGUUGUAGUGCUUUGCCUAAUUGCAAAUAACUUUAAUCAAUAAUAGUGAUUCUUUCCUUUUGAUUUGAACUGAGAAAGAACCACUGAUUCUUGAUCUUAAGGUGACACCAUUUUUCUAUGCCUCAUGCUCAUGCUUCUCUAUGUUCCCUUUUAAAAAUUCUUGCUUGCAUUUUGGGUUGGUUUCUGCUCUAUGUUCCCUUUUAGCGUUUCUUUCUGUUGUUGCUGCACUCCCUUUUGGGCGUUCAUUUUUUAUGCCCAAGAUCUUGCAAAUUGUGCCUGUGCCGAGCUUGCUUUAGAGUACGGGCUGCAGAGACGUCGAGGACCUCAAGGUCACCGAUGUUGUGGAGCUGGACGAGGUUUCCGGGCAGUUCAUCGACCGCCUGUUCUUCCUGUAGAAGGUCUAGAGAUGAUUUACUCUGCCAGGCGGUAGCACUCGAAGCACACAGGCUGAACCUCAACAACAACCCCUACUUUUCUGGGCCCUAAUGUUGCAACGGCCAUGACGGCAUCGAGGCUCGGGCGUGUGGCCCUCGACAUGGAGCAGGCAGAGGAGUGACUACUACCCCAAUGGCAGCCUCUUCUCCCUUGUCCACGUUCGGUUGGUGCCGUGGCGGAGGGUUGUCUUGUGGUUUGACCAGAGAGGGAGCACACCAAAGAAGCGAUCUCGUCCCCAUUGGUCAGAUGCAGUAUGUAAUAACGAAUCACGCCGACCUCUGUCUAAAUGCAUGGAACUUGGUGUUGAGUUAUCUGAAUUGCUGCCCAGGAUUCAGUUUGUACUUUAUUUACCUAUAAUAUGGUAUGUAAUGACAAGGAAGUUGAGGACUAGGUAUGGAUGUUGUUUAACUA